RNAcentral lists this long non-coding RNA (950 nucleotides) under Volvox carteri. RNAcentral's name for it is "long non-coding RNA (VCAR_LNC002259)". Lineage: Eukaryota; Viridiplantae; Chlorophyta; Chlorophyceae; Chlamydomonadales; Volvocaceae. The record is from RNAcentral.
UUUCAGGGUACUGUUUCUAAGCAUGCAAGGGCGAACGACUAUGUUUGUUUUGUUUGAUUUAUUAUAAUCAUCUUGGUCACGUGAAGCCAGACCAGCCAGGUGGCUCAUAAUGGACCAGUAGACUCAGCAAAAAGAGUGCGGAGGGCAUUUUUGCAAAACAUGUUGCAUGUACGGGCUGCUUUUGGCUCGGCAAGGGCAUCAUGCCUUGGAAUUGGCAAGGCCACUAUUAUUGAGGCGUGAAAGGGCGGCACAAGGAAGUAGCUGCAGCAGUAGAAUGAUCGGUCAUGAUCUCUGGUUGGGGUGUUACACUGUGGGCGGCUCGCCCCGAGAAAAGGACGAGCACCGGGGUCCCUGACCGGGGGCCGAAACACAGCGCAGGGGCAGGCGCGCGGCUCUACGUCCGUCUGUUCAAACUCCGCGCGCGCCUCACCCCCUCACUCACGCCAACCGGGACGCUCUCCCAGCCCCUGGCUAGGCAACGCAGCGGCGCAGAAGACUGCAAACCGAAUUAAGCGAGAGCCGCACGAGAGGCGCCACACCACCUCUGGGAGACCUAAACAAGCAAUCUGGCCCCACUACGCCUGGCCAGCCUAAUCCGCGUUCUCGUCUCUCUUUGACCGCCAAAACAAGAACAAAGAGAAAACACCACCGGGGGCAGGGGCUCUACUCAGGGGGCUCCACUACACACUAAAAAAACCGAGGCAAGGGAAGACCUAUCCUCGUCAGGUACGGCCCCUCAGCAGUAUCCUCUGUUGGGACUGUAACGGCAUUUCUUCACGCUUCGCGAAACACUGCACGCGGCCCUUCUCUAGCUUCUUCACCACCCGCCAACGCUUCUUACGUUGUUUUACGGCCAUCGCGCAUUAUAGAGCAGUAGGAAGCUUGCUAGCAAAUGCAGAUAAAUUGUGCUCUCACUUUUGUGAGCGCAUCAUGCAAUUUUUUUCUCUAUU